GCGGCUCAACCGCGAAAAUGCGAGGGAAACGGAAUAGCUUGAGGAUGCGAGGGGUGAAUGGAACUCAUGGAGUAGGGGUGAAAUCCGUUGAUAUCAUGGGGAACACCAAAAGCGAAGGCACUUCACUGGCGCACUCCUGACGCUGAAACACGAAAGCGUAGGUAGCGAAUGGGAUUAGAUACCCCAGUAGUCUACGCCCUAAACGAUGAUCGCUGGUUUUGGGAAGUAUCGACCCUUUCCGAGACGAAGCUAACGCGUUAAGCGAUCCGCCUGGGUAGUACGAGCGCAAGCUUAAAACUCAAAGGAAUAGACGGGGACUUGCACAAGCGGUGGAUCAAGUGGCUUAAUUCGACAACAAACGAAGAACCUUACCAGGACUUGAAGCUCAACUGAAUCCGAGAAGAAAUUUUCGGAGCCUCACAAGGGCAGUUGGACAGGUGAUGCAUGGCCGUCGUCAGUUCGUGGCUUGAGUUGUUCCCUUCAGUGGGGAAACGAACGCAACCCCUAUCGUCUGUUAUACGUGUCAGGCGAGACCGCCGCGUAAGUUGGAGGAAGGUGGGGAUGACGCCAGGUCAGCAUGUCCCUCUGAUGUCCUGGGCUGCACACGCGCUACAAUCGCCGUUACAACGAGGCGCAAUGGGGUAACCCGGAGCAAAUCUUUCAAAAGCGGCCUCAGUUCGGAUUGAGGGCUGCAACUCGACCUCAUGAAGUCGGAAUCGCUAGUAAUCGCGGGUCAGAUAUACCGCGGUGAAUACGUUCCCAAGUCUUGUACUCACCGCCCGUCACGUCAAGGGAGCCGGGAGCACCCGAUGCCCAAGCCUAGCUUGGUCCAAGGUGAAUUCGGUGACAGGGACGAAGUCGUAACAAGGCACGGGUAGCGGAAGCUGCUCGUGGAACAAUUUCUAA
RNAcentral lists this ribosomal RNA (906 nucleotides) under bacterium. RNAcentral's name for it is "bacterial SSU rRNA". It matches the Rfam family "Bacterial small subunit ribosomal RNA", at positions 604 to 1533 of the family's 1533-position model. The record is from RNAcentral.